RNAcentral lists this ribosomal RNA (317 nucleotides) under uncultured Treponema sp. RNAcentral's name for it is "partial 16S ribosomal RNA". Lineage: Bacteria; Pseudomonadati; Spirochaetota; Spirochaetia; Treponematales; Treponemataceae. The record is from RNAcentral.
GGAGUCUGGGCCGUAUCUCAGUCCCAAUGUGUCCGAUUACCCUCUAAGGCCGGAUACCUGUCAUUGCCUUGGUGGGCCUUUACCUCACCAACUAGCUGAUAGGACGCAGGCCGUUCCUCGAGCGGAGCAAAAGCUCCUUUCCAGUAUGGCUUCCAAGACCACACUUCACAUCCGGUAUUACCCGGUAUUUCUACCGGCUAUCCCCGUCUCAAGGGUACGUCACCCACGUGUUACUCACCAGUCCGCCACUCUCACAUCCAGCAAGCUGGAUGAUCCCGUUCGACUUGCAUGCUUAAGACGCGCCGCCAGCGUUCGUU